UUGAUAACGAGGCGGCUUGCCGCCGAAGUGAGUGAUACCCUGCUUCCAGGAAAAGCCACUAAGCUUCAGCUACACACGACCGUACCGCAAACCGACACUGGUGCGCGAGAUGAGUAUUCUAAGGCGCUUGAGAGAACUCAGGAGAAGGAACUCGGCAAAUUGACACCGUAACUUCGGAAGAAGGUGUGCCUUUAGUAGGUGAACCUGCACAAGGGGAGCCCAAUGAGGUUGCAAAAAAUCGGUGGCUGCGACUGUUUAAUAAAAACACAGCACUCUGCAAACACGAAAGUGGACGUAUAGGGUGUGACGCCUGCCCGGUGCUGGAAGAUUAAAUGAUGGGGUGCAAGCUCUUGAUUGAAGUCCCAGUAAACGGCGGCCGUAACUAUAACGGUCCUAAGGUAGCGAAAUUCCUUGUCGGGUAAGUUCCGACCUGCACGAAUGGCGUAACGAUGGCCACACUGUCUCCUCCUGAGACUCAGCGAAGUUGAAAUGUUUGUGAUGAUGCAAUCUCCCCGCGGAAAGACGGAAAGACCCCAUGAACCUUUACUGUAGCUUUGUAUUGGACUUUGAACAGAUCUGUGUAGGAUAGGUGGGAGGCUUUGAAGCAGGGUCGCUAGAUCUUGUGGAGCCAACGUUGAAAUACCACCCUGGUGUGUUUGAGGUUCUAACCUAGGCCCGUAAUCCGGGUCGGGGACAGUGCAUGGUAGGCAGUUUGACUGGGGCGGUCUCCUCCCAAAGCGUAACGGAGGAGUUCGAAGGUACGCUAGGUACGGUCGGACAUCGUGCUGAUAGUGCAAUGGCAUAAGCGUGCUUAACUGCGAGACUGACAAGUCGAGCAGAUGCGAAAGCAGGACAUAGUGAUCCGGUGGUUCUGUAUGGAAGGGCCAUCGCUCAACGGAUAAAAGGUACUCUGGGGAUAACAGGCUGAUACCGCCCAAGAGUUCAUAUCGACGGCGGUGUUUGGCACCUCGAUGUCGGCUCAUCUCAUCCUGGGGCUGUAGCCGGUCCCAAGGGUAUGGCUGUUCGCCAUUUAAAGAGGUACGUGAGCUGGGUUUAAAACGUCGUGAGACAGUUUGGUCCCUAUCUUCCGUGGGCGCUGCAAGAUUGAGAGAGCCUGCUCCUAGUACGAGAGGACCGGAGUGGACGCACCUCUGGUGUAUCGGUUGUCACGCCAGUGGCAUCGCCGAGUAGCUAAGUGCGGAAGAGAUAACCGCUGAAAGCAUCUAAGCGGGAAACUCGUCUCAAGAUGAGAUCUGCCGGGGCCUUGAGCCCCCUGAAGAGUCGUUCAAGACCAGGACGUUGAUAGGCUGGGUGUGGAAGCGCAGUAAUGCGUUAAGCUAACCAGUACUAAUUGCUCGUGCGGCUUGACCC
This 1371-nucleotide ribosomal RNA is filed under the name metagenome. Its description in RNAcentral is "bacterial LSU rRNA". It matches the Rfam family "Bacterial large subunit ribosomal RNA", at positions 1563 to 2925 of the family's 2925-position model. The record is from RNAcentral.